CUUCACCGAGCCCAGCCAGAGGGGGCGUUCGCGCGGCUCGUGUCCGUAGGUCGCCAGGAACGCCUCGGCCUC
RNAcentral lists this antisense RNA (72 nucleotides) under Streptomyces sp. NRRL S-1521. Its description in RNAcentral is "ASpks TB sRNA". It matches the Rfam family "ASpks TB sRNA". The record is from Rfam by way of RNAcentral. Lineage: Bacteria; Bacillati; Actinomycetota; Actinomycetes; Kitasatosporales; Streptomycetaceae.